Long non-coding RNA from Passer domesticus (house sparrow), 477 nucleotides. RefSeq lists it as uncharacterized. The transcript has 3 exons. The record is from RefSeq and is a predicted model, not a curated record. NCBI's taxonomy places the organism in Eukaryota, Metazoa, Chordata, Aves, Passeriformes, Passeridae.
UUGUUUCCCUGGAAUGUAAAUGUAUUUGUUCCAUGUCCCCAAGACUCCAGAGUUUGUGGAUGCACCUGCAAACACCUGAGGGGCUGCUGUGACUUGUCGGUGGUUUUUGGAUGACUCCAGGGCUGAGCUCAGUCCUUCUCCAUCCCUGGCAGUGGCAGAGGAGCCAGAAGUGAAUCCUCAGGGAGCAGUUUCCUUAGGAAUCAGGGAAUGUCACCACCACAGGUCUGCUCCUUUCCUUAUCCACCCUAUCCCGGUGUCCUGGGCUGGGAGCAGCACACAGAGCUGUCACAGCUGAUUUGAAGAGAUUUGAUCCCUCAUUUGGACACAUCUGAUAUGCCUCAGAAGAGCAUUUCCAAGCAGGUAGAAAACCAAAACAGAGAAAUGAGGAUUUGGAGAUGUUUUCCCUAAAAGAGCUUUUAUUCCAGAAGGGAGAGAAAUGCAUCCUGCUUUGAAAAUAAGGGGAAACACAUUAAAGAC